This 2926-nucleotide ribosomal RNA is filed under the name Triticum aestivum (bread wheat). RNAcentral's name for it is "partial small subunit ribosomal RNA". The record is from RNAcentral. Lineage: Eukaryota; Viridiplantae; Streptophyta; Magnoliopsida; Poales; Poaceae.
GGGGUCGGGAGUCGAAUUUUUUUUUUUUCCGGGGUCGGGAGGAGAGGGCGCUUAGCAUAGAAUGGGGCCGCUGACGAGCGUCGGAGCGUCGGAGCGUCGGUGGUGUAUGCCGCGGGCUAAGGCCGACUAAGGCCGCUGAGGGCCGCCGCGCGUUGUUUGGGUGCUGGAGGGGAACGAGGCGACGAAUGAGGGUAGGCAGGUCGAGGCGCCGCGUGCCAGACAGCGCGAGCGAGCGCUGGGAUUCGGCACAAAGCCCGCCCCGCAGCGGAAGCAGCGGCCGCUCCGAGGCCGCCUGAGGCCGCCGAGGAGAGGCAUAGGAGGGAGCGGGGGUGCGCGCAGAGGAGAAGGACCUUGCGCGAGGACGCGGGCCACCGGUACCCCGCGUCCCCGCGUAGCCCGACCCGGAGGAGACGAAGGCUAAACCACGUCGUCGGCGCUCAGAGGUACCUGCUCCUCCUGCUGGCCCUGGGGUUUCCGGUGGAACUGGACCUGAUGAGGGGUGUGUUGUGUUCAAACCUGUCGCAUUUGACAACGUCGACGAUUAGUCCUUGCUUGUGCGGCCGUGAAACCACCAAGUCAAACGUGCAAAACAAGUCACCUAUUUGUAGGUAAAGAGGUACCGACUGACUUUAAUCGAUGUAGGUCACGAGAUGAGAAGGUUGAACAAAACCAGUUAAAGUUCCUAGUGUAAACAUUGAACCGAACUAAGUCGGUCAAUACUACUCGAUUGGUUAACUGAACAUGUCACGUUGUCUAGCAGCAAUAUUAACAUGUCAGGUUAAUACAGGAUUGAGAUCGUGAUCGUUUGCGAAACGAAGGUAGACCACUUCUGCUGCUGGAGCUCUGAUGGUACUAAGGGGUGUGUUCCUCUUCCAGAGAGGGAGAGGGAGACAAAUAAAAACUGUUAAUCCUAAACCAUCUGUUGUGAAGUCAAUGUAUAUAUGACGUUUGUCAGAAAGUGAAAUGAAAGACUUCGAAGUAAGAGACGAAAGGUUGUACUUUAUGUACCUGUCUCAAGCUAAUUGAAUAUACUUCUGUAAGUUCGUGUGACAAAAAAGGAUGGCGUUUUAUUGUUUCAACAUGAGAAAUAUCGAACAGGUUUAAGUACCUGCAUCAGAUUCCCACCGGUAGUAUCGUAUGAAUUAAACGACCUGAUCAUAAAUAUCGAACAGGUUAUAAGUACCUGUUUAACAAAGUCUCUUCUGAUCAUAGAGAAUUAAACGACCUGAUGAGAAGUGGACAUGUAUGUAUGAAGCCUCCUUACCUUGACAAACAAACAGAAAGGCACACAACCAGAAAAAAGGUGUAGUCACCCCAGAAUCUAUCGAAAAAAUCUUACGAUUUGAAUCCUUGCCUUCAUGACUUGUUUAGUUAUCUCCAACCAUUGUUCACAAACUCUCCUUUAAAAACAGACGUCAGACGUGAUUGUUUUAGAACACCGGGAAACAAAACUGGACUAGGUUCCAUUCCGGAUAGUUCCAAUAGAAGGUCCGACUUUACUGACUUAAUACAGAAAACAUAAGGAUCAGCGGUAUGACUACCCUCCAUUGUUACCACCACUCCGUUGUAAGCAAGAUAAAGACAGCGCGUACAUACGUGAAGUAGUAAGAGACAUAGUAAGUAAUUAAAACGUGCAUAUAUGUUGUUUAUGAAGACUAUUUAAAGGAGAAAUACCAUUACUUUGGAAACACGUAUGCUGUGAGUGCACAGACUAAAGACAGGUUGUUAACUAGGUCACCCACGACUGUAAAACAAGAUUCAUUACCUACCGACCUACACAUGAUAUCCUGUGAUAAACCCGUUUCUUGUAGCAUACGCAUCAUUGCGAGGAUACCAUUUCUUUAGAUACACCGUCACUGGUGUAUGACUUGGAACAUAACCUACUACUGUGGUAUCCUUAUAUACAAUAGAAGAAAGAAACAUAAACGAAGGGUUCUCCAAAUCAGAUAACGUUUGAAGAACAAGGAAUAUAAUAGAAAAUUCCGGGAUUUUCGGUGUCUCUGUUCACGUCGUUCAGUUUUGUUACUUCCAAUCGUACACUCUACUUUGUAUAUUCUUAAGUACGAUGUUGACUUAAUAAUUGUGGAAGUUAACAAGAAGACUAAAUAAAAGUACUAGGGUCACAUUACUUACCGCUCAUGUUCUUCUUCGUAGUAUUAAGGUUACGAUUCUACAAGAAGUUCGAAGUUACUAUUAGGAAACACAUAAGACUACCAUAGUCCGAUUAAACAGGAAGAGAAAAAAUUACUUGUUGUAACUACACGUCGUGGCCCGUAUCUGCCGGUACGCUGCUGCCACGAAUCCUUCGUUACUCGAUCUUUCCUCACUGUACGGUCCUAUCUGACUCUUUGAACCAAUCGCAAGUCCACGUGGGACAACUUCUUACAACACAAAGUGUACACCAACGUGGUCGCCGUAGAUGCGGUCGUUGCCAUACGCGUAGUUCUUCUCGCUCUCGAUACCCUUUGGUUAGUUGUCCGCUCAAUCUAAGAGAAGUCACGAUCCGGUGGCAACGCGACGCCUCUCAGGAUCUCCCUAGUUCUGUGUUAAUCCUCUUCUGUUCGGACUUUUACAAAUCUGAACUGGGAGGUGAAUACAUCCGUACUCAAUUUAUGUACCAGUUUGGUAGCGGAACUCAAAACGAUGUACCCACCAGUUUAGUAGCGGAGUCUAAACGCUACCGGACGGAAAAUAUAACGUUAAAGAACACCACCGAUGUUGUAACCUAUUGAGUCGUAUACACUAUACAUACAUUGCUCAUCAUAUAGCAUAGGUUCAAAGGUAUUCCCACUUGAGACAAGAUGAAAACCAUAAAAGCAAAAAGAUAGCUCAAUUCAUGAUUGAGAAACUAAGAGCCAUUGAUUAAUGGGAUAACCUAAAUUACACACUAUUAGGUAUAUACAAACAAUGUUAUAGAAACAAGGUG